Papaver somniferum (opium poppy) is the source of this 2754-nucleotide long non-coding RNA. RefSeq lists it as uncharacterized. NCBI's taxonomy places the organism in Eukaryota, Viridiplantae, Streptophyta, Magnoliopsida, Ranunculales, Papaveraceae. The record is from RefSeq and is a predicted model, not a curated record. The transcript is spliced from 5 exons.
CCCAUGAGAAACAAAACAUAGCCGAUACACUGUAAUCUCCUCCUAAAACAAAACCUAAAACAAGCCUUAGAGGGGAUUUGUUCGAUUUGUUUGGCUUUUAAUUAGGGUUUCUCUCACUUUUAAUUAUUGUUUGGCAGUAAGAUGGUGUUGUUUGGUUUCAGCACAAGAAAUCAUGGAAUGAUGAAGAUUUCGUGUCAUAUGAUGGCUUUAUUCGCAGGUCACACUAUUAUUAUUUGGCACAUCCACCAAACAAUAAUAAAUCACGGAGAUUUUCAUAGCUUCCGUCUUGAAGCUAUUCAUUUCACCAAAUGUAUAUACAUUUUGUGAUUUAGGUGAUGUUCAUCUCAGGGGCCUUCUCUUUUUAAAGAGAUUUCAGGGAAGUAUGCUCAUACUGGGAGUUAUGGUGAUGAUCUUAAUGUUUGUUUAUGGAACUAAAAGACAUGGAAACAUAUCAGGGACUGGGAUUUGUGAAAAAGGAUGAAGCUUGAGGAGUGGAGUUGUAAGGUUAUCUUGCAAAAAGAGGGAACCUUCCUGGCGGAAAAUUUGGUAAGUCAUCAUGGUUCUGUUUCUUCUUUCUUGGUACCUGAGAACUGCACUGGAAUCAUCCAUUGAUUUGGAUGGAUAAAUUCAAUAUGGCCAGUGGCCAUUUGUGUAGUCGAGGCACUAAUUUAUCAACAAUGAACAAGCAGUGAUUCACAAAGGUUUGAAAUCAUCCAACAUCUUUCUCUCUGUUGCUUUCCAGCCACGUGUACUUCGUACUUUUAAUCAACAAUGAACAAGCAGUGAUUCACAAUGGUCAAUAAUUUCCUGCAUCUAUAUUGGUUAAAAUGCUGAGGUCUGUAGUUUAUAAUUGCACAUAUUUUUGGUACCUUAGGGUAGUUGCUCAUGAUCAAUUUUUGAAAUCCGCUUUUCAAACACCAUUUGGUUGUAUUACUGUGUUAGUUGCACUUUUAAAAUUGCCUGCUCUAGCCCCUGAUCGCUAAAACAGAAGUAGAAUCAUGGGAAUACGAUUCUUACAUUUCAUAAUUCAUAUGCUUCCUUCUUUUCCAUGUUCUCACGAUCUCAUUCAAGCAGUAACAUAUAAGGCUUUGGUGUAGUUUUAUCGCGCGGAUCAAGUGGUUCACUGGACAGAUUAAAGAUACAUUAGUCCAUUGUAGUACUAUUUAUUUUUUUUGUGGUAUUCCUAUGCCUUUCCUAUCACAUAACUCAAUUGCACAGUUAACAAUUUGACCGGGAAUAUUGGCACGUGGAAGAUUUUCCAUUCCAAAUCCUGCUGAUAGGUUCCAGGCUAAUUGGUGGCAAUCCGGCGUUAACUAAGGUUAUACCUUUAUUAGCUGAUGGGGUGGUUGAUGAUGGUGGCAAAUGAUGACAGCAAGAAAAUGGAGUUUACUAUUACAAAGAGAUUCGUUUACAGGUUGCUACAAGUCUUUCCCAUCUCACCAGGCAUUGGGUGGUCAUAGAUAGUAAGUAAUAAGAUCAAUCAGCAGAAUAUGGAAGUUGUUGCAGGUAGAUUAAUAAUAAGAAGAGAAACUGAAGAGGAAAAGGAUGAGAACCACAUUUUUUAAGAGCAGCAUCAAAGUGAACCCAUGAAAUCCAGAGUUCAGGUUAAGAAAAUAGGAUUCAUUACAAAUUCAAAAAUCAAAGUUGUGCAAACACAUCCAUUUAGCACAUGCGGGAAGACACUUCCAACAUGUCAAGCACCUGGAUGACAUGUAAGACGCAUCACAAAACUAGGCCUGUCAGCUGUGGUGGACAGAAUUCUGCAUCCUCCAUCAUCGCUACUAAUAGUAGUACAGGUGCUUGAUUUUGAUCUGAAUGAGCUGCCGGUGAUGGAAGAAUAAGAAAGACAAAUCCAAAAUACAUGGCGAUGGGAGGAGGCGAAGUGCCGGGCGAGACCAAAUCAAAAAAGCAUUAGGAUGGGACGAGGCGAAGCCGAGUCACAAAAUACAUCCCGACAGGGCAAGGCGGAGCUGAGCCACAUCGAAUCAAAAAUGUAUCCCGACGGGACGAGGCAAGGCUGAGCAACAUCAAAUCAAAAAUCCUAAGAAACGGGUCGAGGCAAAACCGAACAACACCAAAUCAAAAAUGCAUCGUGACGGCAAGGGGCGAAGCCCCGUGACGCCCAAUCAAAAUUGCACGACGGAACGAGACGAAGCCACAUCACACCAGAAAAUAUCGUUAAAAGAUAAAAUAAAAAAUGAUGGUGACAAAAUAUAGUAUAUAUAUAAUUUAGGUUAAGACCAAAACCUUGAGGACUAAACGUCCGUGCAUGCAAGACUCAGUUUCAAUUUAGGUUAUAAUCUAGGUUAAGACUCAGUUUCAAUUUAGGUUAUAAACGUCCGUGCAUACAAAAUCUAGUAUAUAUAUAAUUUAGGUUAAGACGAAAACCUUGAGGACUAAACGUCCGUGCAUGGUUACCAAGACUCCAAUCACCAAGACUCAGUUUCAGACACCGACUCAGACCUAUUCAAGCCGCUUCCGACCGAUCCAGAUAGAAUCAGUUUUCAGAUGCUACUUUAGUUUAGUGUGUUACUUUAGGAAAAUUUAUGAUAAAUGGAUGGAUCAUUUGCUGAUCCUAAUACCAUUGCCUAGUGCAGUGUUGUUAAAUUAGUGCAGUGUUGUUAAAUUGUUUGGUGUUGUCUUCAACGGGCCAUUUUACUUACUUGUGAAAAAUCCUGAGAAAUGGAUGGAUCAAUUGCUGAUCCAAAUAUUUCUGCCUUGGCCCUUGUGCAGUGAUGUUAGAUUGUUUGGUUA